AAUAUGGAACGAUAAAAGCGGUUGGGACUGGCUGGUGAUUUAACGCAGAAGGGAAUACAGCGGAGUUAAAAGCAAAGGAAUAUAAGGAUGAUGGAAACAGGGACAAGAGUAAGAGCAAAUGCGACAGACUUUAAAGAAACGUUGGGGUGGUCGAAGGAAUUUAAGGAAAAUUCGGUUGAUUUAUGUAUUGUGCGAGGAUCUGUACGUGCAAAGAUUAAGCGUCAGUGCUUGAAGCAGCAGUUACGAAGGAAAUCUUCAGAGGCAAGGGCAUAACGAGCAGCUAACCAUCAGAGUACGCGGAACUUAGCGAAAUGAACGAGCAAGGGGAAAUUUUAUUUGUACAUGACUGCUUCAUUCGUUCAUUCAACUGAUAUUUUCUAAGCGGAUCAGAAAUAAAUUCAACUGCAUAAGCUAUUUACACAAAACACAAAAUCCAUGACAAGAUACAUUUUAGGAUACUAAAUGUAAUUUAAUAUUUCAUUCCUGUAACUCGAACGUCAAAUAGUUGAUUUUAAUCUGUUACUAGUUACCUUUUAC
Molecule: unclassified non-coding RNA, 537 nt
Filed under: Bombus terrestris (buff-tailed bumblebee)
Lineage: Eukaryota; Metazoa; Arthropoda; Insecta; Hymenoptera; Apidae
Description: misc RNA ENSBTSG00005029752.1
Source: RNAcentral